RNAcentral lists this transfer RNA (63 nucleotides) under Chrysocoris stollii. Its description in RNAcentral is "tRNA-Glu". It matches the Rfam family "tRNA". Rfam says of the family: Transfer RNA (tRNA) molecules are approximately 80 nucleotides in length. Their secondary structure includes four short double-helical elements and three loops (D, anti-codon, and T loops). Further hydrogen bonds mediate the characteristic L-shaped molecular structure. tRNAs have two regions of fundamental functional importance: the anti-codon, which is responsible for specific mRNA codon recognition, and the 3' end, to which the tRNAs corresponding amino acid is attached (by aminoacyl-tRNA synthetases). tRNAs cope with the degeneracy of the genetic code in two manners: having more than one tRNA (with a specific anti-codon) for a particular amino acid; and 'wobble' base-pairing, i.e. permitting non-standard base-pairing at the 3rd anti-codon position. The record is from RNAcentral. Lineage: Eukaryota; Metazoa; Arthropoda; Insecta; Hemiptera; Scutelleridae.
ACUUGUAUAGUUUAAAUAAAACAUUUCAUUUUCAAUGAAAAAAUAAAUUUUAUUUUAUAAGUA